AACGCGAAGAACCUUACCUGGGCUUGAACCGCACAGGACCAUUCCUAGAAAUAGGGACUUCCCGCAAGGGACCUGUGUAGAGGUGCUGCAUGGCUGUCGUCAGCUCGUGUCGUGAGAUGUUGGGUUAAGUCCCGCAACGAGCGCAACCCUUACCUCCAGUUGCCAUCAUUCAGUUGGGCACUCUGGCGGAACCGCCUCGGAUAACGGGGAGGAAGGUGGGGAUGACGUCAAGUCCUCAUGGCCUUUAUGUCCAGGGCUACACACGUGCUACAAUGGCCGGUACAAACCGUUGCAAACCCGCGAGGGGGAGCUAAUCGGAAAAAGCCGGCCUCAGUUCGGAUCGCAGUCUGCAACUCGACUGCGUGAAGCUGGAAUCGCUAGUAAUCGCGGAUCAGAAUGCCGCGGUGAAUACGUUCCCGGGCCUUGUACACACCGUAGAGAC
This 442-nucleotide ribosomal RNA is filed under the name uncultured bacterium. RNAcentral describes it as "bacterial SSU rRNA". It matches the Rfam family "Bacterial small subunit ribosomal RNA", at positions 958 to 1400 of the family's 1533-position model. The record is from RNAcentral.